RNAcentral lists this ribosomal RNA (253 nucleotides) under uncultured bacterium. RNAcentral's name for it is "partial 16S ribosomal RNA". It matches the Rfam family "Bacterial small subunit ribosomal RNA", at positions 524 to 776 of the family's 1533-position model. The record is from RNAcentral.
UACGGAGGGUGCAAGCGUUAUCCGGAUUCACUGGGUUUAAAGGGAGCGCAGGCGGGCUGGUAAGUCAGUGGUGAAAGCCUUGAGCUUAACUCGAGAACUGCCAUUGAUACUAUCAGUCUUGAAUAUUGUUGAGGUUUGCGGAAUGGGUCAUGUAGCGGUGAAAUGCAUAGAUAUGACCCGGAACACCUAUUGCGAAGGCGGCAGGCUAAACAAAGAUUGACGCUGAGGCUCGAAAGCGUGGGGAUCAAACAGG